Molecule: ribosomal RNA, 301 nt
Filed under: uncultured bacterium
Lineage: Bacteria
Description: partial 16S ribosomal RNA
Rfam family: Bacterial small subunit ribosomal RNA
Source: RNAcentral
CAGUAGCCGCGGGAAUACGUAGGUGGCAAGCGUUGCCCGGAAUUAUUGGGCGUAAAGGGCUCGCAGGCGGUUUCUUAAGUCUGAUGUGAAAGCCCCCGGCUCAACCGGGGAGGGUCAUUGGAAACUGGGAAACUUGAGUGCAGAAGAGGAGAGUGGAAUUCCACGUGUAGCGGUGAAAUGCGUAGAGAUGUGGAGGAACACCAGUGGCGAAGGCGACUCUCUGGUCUGUAACUGACGCUGAGGAGCGAAAGCGUGGGGAGCGAACAGGAUUAGAUACCCCGGUAGUCCCUGUCUCUUAUAC